RNAcentral lists this ribosomal RNA (849 nucleotides) under uncultured Gammaproteobacteria bacterium. RNAcentral describes it as "bacterial SSU rRNA". It matches the Rfam family "Bacterial small subunit ribosomal RNA", at positions 33 to 873 of the family's 1533-position model. Lineage: Bacteria; Pseudomonadati; Pseudomonadota; Gammaproteobacteria. The record is from RNAcentral.
ACGCUGGCGGUAUGCUUAACACAUGCAAGUCGAACGGAAACGAAACUAGCUUGCUAGUAGGCGUCGAGUGGCGGACGGGUGAGUAACGCGUAGGAAUCUGCCUGAUAGUGGGGGAUAGCCCGAAGAAAUUCGGAUUAAUACCGCAUAAUCUAUUCGUAGUAAAGUGGGGGACUUUCGAGCCUCACGCUAUCAGAUGAGCCUGCGUAAGAUUAGCUUGUUGGUAGGGUAAAAGCCUACCAAGGCAACGAUCUUUAGCUGGUCUGAGAGGAUGAUCAGCCACAUCGGGACUGAGACACGGCCCGAACUCCUACGGGAGGCAGCAGUGGGGAAUAUUGGACAAUGGGGGCAACCCUGAUCCAGCAAUACCGCGUGUGUGAAGAAGGCUUGAGGGUUGUAAAGCACUUUCAAUUGUGAAGAAAAGUUAACGGUUAAUAACCGUUAACCUUGACGUUAACUUUAUAAGAAGCACCGGCUAACUCCGUGCCAGCAGCCGCGGUAAUACGGAGGGUGCAAGCGUUAAUCGGAAUUACUGGGCGUAAAGCGUGCGUAGGCGGUUUAUUAAGUCAGAUGUGAAAGCCCCGGGCUUAACCUGGGAACUGCAUUUGAAACUGGUCAACUAGAGUAUGGUAGAGGAAAGUGGAAUUUCUGGUGUAGCGGUGAAAUGCGUAGAUAUCAGAAGGAACAUCAAUGGCGAAGGCAGCUUUCUGGACCAAUACUGACGCUGAGGUACGAAAGCGUGGGUAGCAAACAGGAUUAGAUACCCUGGUAGUCCACGCCGUAAACGAUGAUAACUAGCCGUUGGGGGGAUUUACCCCUUAGUGGCGAAGCUAACGCGUUAAGUUAUCCGCC